CCCUGCCAUUUGUACACACCGCCCGUCGCACCUACCGAUUGAAUGGUCCGGUGAAGCCUCGGGAUUGCGAAGACCCCGCGUCGACGCGAGAACUUGGCUAAACCUUACCAUUUAGAGGAAGGUGAAGU
This 128-nucleotide ribosomal RNA is filed under the name uncultured eukaryote. RNAcentral describes it as "partial small subunit ribosomal RNA". It matches the Rfam family "Eukaryotic small subunit ribosomal RNA", at positions 1651 to 1789 of the family's 1831-position model. The record is from RNAcentral.